UCCUAGCCCAGAUGGGAAUGAAAAUCCUUUUGGGUUGAACGGUAUUUUUUCUUGACUAAAAAAAGCGACUGGAAGAAGCUCUUUUUUGGUCUUAGAAAAAACGGUUUCAAGCCAAAAGAUUGUAAUGUACAGCUGGAUGAUGC
This 143-nucleotide small RNA is filed under the name Flavobacterium sp. 9R. Its description in RNAcentral is "Flavo-1". It matches the Rfam family "Flavo-1 RNA". Lineage: Bacteria; Pseudomonadati; Bacteroidota; Flavobacteriia; Flavobacteriales; Flavobacteriaceae. The record is from RNAcentral.